Molecule: ribosomal RNA, 822 nt
Filed under: Lactiplantibacillus pentosus
Lineage: Bacteria; Bacillati; Bacillota; Bacilli; Lactobacillales; Lactobacillaceae
Description: bacterial SSU rRNA
Rfam family: Bacterial small subunit ribosomal RNA
Source: RNAcentral
AUCUUCCACAAUGGACGAAAGUCUGAUGGAGCAACGCCGCGUGAGUGAAGAAGGGUUUCGGCUCGUAAAACUCUGUUGUUAAAGAAGAACAUAUCUGAGAGUAACUGUUCAGGUAUUGACGGUAUUUAACCAGAAAGCCACGGCUAACUACGUGCCAGCAGCCGCGGUAAUACGUAGGUGGCAAGCGUUGUCCGGAUUUAUUGGGCGUAAAGCGAGCGCAGGCGGUUUUUUAAGUCUGAUGUGAAAGCCUUCGGCUCAACCGAAGAAGUGCAUCGGAAACUGGGAAACUUGAGUGCAGAAGAGGACAGUGGAACUCCAUGUGUAGCGGUGAAAUGCGUAGAUAUAUGGAAGAACACCAGUGGCGAAGGCGGCUGUCUGGUCUGUAACUGACGCUGAGGCUCGAAAGUAUGGGUAGCAAACAGGAUUAGAUACCCUGGUAGUCCAUACCGUAAACGAUGAAUGCUAAGUGUUGGAGGGUUUCCGCCCUUCAGUGCUGCAGCUAACGCAUUAAGCAUUCCGCCUGGGGAGUACGGCCGCAAGGCUGAAACUCAAAGGAAUUGACGGGGGCCCGCACAAGCGGUGGAGCAUGUGGUUUAAUUCGAAGCUACGCGAAGAACCUUACCAGGUCUUGACAUACUAUGCAAAUCUAAGAGAUUAGACGUUCCCUUCGGGGACAUGGAUACAGGUGGUGCAUGGUUGUCGUCAGCUCGUGUCGUGAGAUGUUGGGUUAAGUCCCGCAACGAGCGCAACCCUUUAUUAUCAGUUGCCAGCAUUAAGUUGGGCACUCUGGUGAGACUGCCGGUGACAACCGGGAGGAAGGUG